GGGUUCCGUCCGGAGUGACCGAGGGGGGGGGAGGUUGGGCGCGCGACCCCGUUGCCAGGUGCUCCCAGCCGGAAGGAGCUAGCGGGACUCCGGGCUGCGUGCUGCGAAGAGCCGCCAUGAGGUCGCGUGCCGCCCGCUGAGCCGCCACGAUCAGCGGGCGGCCCCGCAUCACCCCAAUCUGUGGCCACAGCAACCGUUCAGCCCUACUCUCUCCCAGCCCUACUCUCUCCCAGCCCUACUCUCUCCCAGCCCUACUCUCUCCCUGCUCUACUCUCUCCCAGCCCUACUCUCUCCCAGCUCUACUCUCUCCCUGCUCUACUCUCUCCCAGCCCUACUCUCUCCCAGCCCUACUCUCUCCCAGCUCUACUCUCUCCCUGCUCUACUCUCUCCCAGCC
Long non-coding RNA from Lethenteron reissneri (Far Eastern brook lamprey), 395 nucleotides. RefSeq lists it as uncharacterized. Lineage: Eukaryota; Metazoa; Chordata; Hyperoartia; Petromyzontiformes; Petromyzontidae. The record is from RefSeq and is a predicted model, not a curated record.